Molecule: ribosomal RNA, 442 nt
Filed under: uncultured bacterium
Lineage: Bacteria
Description: partial 16S ribosomal RNA
Rfam family: Bacterial small subunit ribosomal RNA
Source: RNAcentral
CCUACGGGAGGCAGCAGUGGGGAAUAUUGGGCAAUGGACGAAACUCUGACCCAGCAACGCCGCGUGAAUGAUGACGGUCUUCGGAUUGUAAAGUUCUUUUCUAAGGGAAGAAGACAGUGACGGUACCUUAGGACUAAGACUCGGCUAACUACGUGCCAGCAGCCGCGGUAAUACGUAGGAGGCGGGCGUUAUCGGGAUUGACUGGGCGUAAAGGGUGCGUAGGCGGAAUGGGAAGUCAGCGGUAAAAUCGCGGGGCUCACACUCGCUCCGCCGUUGACACUGGCGUUCUUGAGUGGGCGAGAAGUAGGCGGAAUGCGUGGUGUAGCGGUGAAAUGCAUAGAUAUCACGCAGAACUCCGAUUGCGAAGGCAGCAUACCGGCGCCCAACUGACGCUGAAGCACGAAAGCGUGGGUAGCGAACAGGAUUAGAUACCCGGGUAGUC